This is a non-coding RNA of Cinara cedri, 412 nucleotides long. Lineage: Eukaryota; Metazoa; Arthropoda; Insecta; Hemiptera; Aphididae. The record is from the annotation of a GenBank genome assembly.
AAAAAUACGUUUACGGGAUUUAAUUAAAUAAUAAGCGUCUGUCACCGUCAUCACGCGUUAUUUUUUAUCACGAUACUUAAUUUUUUUAAUAAUAUUAUUGGGUAUACAUACGCCUAAGGUUUCGAUUUGUUUUUAUUUCUCUUCAAAGAGAAACGGCGUAUGAAUAAAUGAUUUUAAAAAACAAGCGCAAUGUUUAAAUUUAUUAUUUUUUGGCACGCGACAAACUUUGAUGAUAAUAAUAAUAUAAUUUUAGAUAUUUUAAAAUACUGACUACUACGCUCGUAUACAGCGUAUUUCAUAAUCAUCCUUUGAAGAGUUUUGUUUACUUAAGCUGCUGUGUUAGAAAAAAAAAAGAUAACAAAUUUGACUUAUGUACAUACGUAGUUGUUUUUAUUUAUUAGACAUUCUGUUU